CCUACGGGAGGCUGCAGUGGGGAAUCUUAGACAAUGGGCGCAAGCCUGAUCUAGCCAUGCCGCGUGAGCGAUGAAGGCCUUAGGGUUGUAAAGCUCUUUCAGUGGGGAAGAUAAUGACUGUACCCACAGAAGAAGCCCCGGCUAACUCCGUGCCAGCAGCCGCGGUAAUACGGAGGGGGCUAGCGUUGUUCGGAAUUACUGGGCGUAAAGCGCACGUAGGCGGACCAGAAAGUAGGGGGUGAAAUCCCGGGGCUCAACCUCGGAACUGCCUUCUAAACUCCUGGUCUUGAGGUCGAGAGAGGUGAGUGGAAUUCCGAGUGUAGAGGUGAAAUUCGUAGAUAUUCGGAGGAACACCAGUGGCGAAGGCGGCUCACUGGCUCGAUACUGACGCUGAGGUGCGAAAGCGUGGGGAGCAAACAGGAUUAGAUACCCCAGUAGUC
This 440-nucleotide ribosomal RNA is filed under the name uncultured Rhodobacter sp. RNAcentral's name for it is "bacterial SSU rRNA". It matches the Rfam family "Bacterial small subunit ribosomal RNA", at positions 338 to 795 of the family's 1533-position model. Lineage: Bacteria; Pseudomonadati; Pseudomonadota; Alphaproteobacteria; Rhodobacterales. The record is from RNAcentral.